Molecule: ribosomal RNA, 450 nt
Filed under: uncultured bacterium
Lineage: Bacteria
Description: partial 16S ribosomal RNA
Rfam family: Bacterial small subunit ribosomal RNA
Source: RNAcentral
CCUACGGGUGGCUGCAGUAAGGAAUAUUGGUCAAUGGGCGCAAGCCUGAACCAGCCAUGCCGCGUGAAGGAUGACGGCCCUAUGGGUUGUAAACUUCUUUUGUACGGGAAAAAACCUCUGGUCGUGAAUCAGAGCUGAUGGUACCGUAAGAAUAAGCAUCGGCUAACUCCGUGCCAGCAGCCGCGGUAAUACGGAGGAUGCAGACGUUAUCCGGAUUCAUGGGGUUUAAAGGGAACAAAGGGGGAGCAAUGAAAGCCUACAGCUUAACUGUAGAACUGCCAUUGAUACUGUUAUUCUUGAGUGUUGUUGAGGUAGGCGGAAUGUGUCAUGUAGCGGUGAAAUGCUUAGAUAUGACACAGAACACCGAUCGCGAAGGCAGCUUACCAAGCAACAACUGACGCUCAUGCACGAAAGCGUGGGGAUCAAACAGGAUUAGAUACCCCUGUAGUC